RNAcentral lists this ribosomal RNA (561 nucleotides) under uncultured Ralstonia sp. Its description in RNAcentral is "bacterial SSU rRNA". It matches the Rfam family "Bacterial small subunit ribosomal RNA", at positions 95 to 652 of the family's 1533-position model. Lineage: Bacteria; Pseudomonadati; Pseudomonadota; Betaproteobacteria; Burkholderiales; Burkholderiaceae. The record is from RNAcentral.
GUGGCGAACGGGUGAGUAAUACAUCGGAACGUGCCCUGUAGUGGGGGAUAACUAGUCGAAAGAUUAGCUAAUACCGCAUACGACCUGAGGGUGAAAGUGGGGGACCGCAAGGCCUCAUGCUAUAGGAGCGGCCGAUGUCUGAUUAGCUAGUUGGUGAGGUAAAGGCUCACCAAGGCGACGAUCAGUAGCUGGUCUGAGAGGACGAUCAGCCACACUGGGACUGAGACACGGCCCAGACUCCUACGGGAGGCAGCAGUGGGGAAUUUUGGACAAUGGGCGAAAGCCUGAUCCAGCAAUGCCGCGUGUGUGAAGAAGGCCUUCGGGUUGUAAAGCACUUUUGUCCGGAAAGAAAUGGCUCUGGUUAAUACCUGGGGUCGAUGACGGUACCGGAAGAAUAAGGACCGGCUAACUACGUGCCAGCAGCCGCGGUAAUACGUAGGGUCCAAGCGUUAAUCGGAAUUACUGGGCGUAAAGCGUGCGCAGGCGGUUGUGCAAGACCGAUGUGAAAUCCCCGAGCUUAACUUGGGAAUUGCAUUGGUGACUGCACGGCUAGAGUGUGUC